This 74-nucleotide transfer RNA is filed under the name Bacteroidales bacterium. Its description in RNAcentral is "tRNA-Arg". It matches the Rfam family "tRNA". Rfam says of the family: Transfer RNA (tRNA) molecules are approximately 80 nucleotides in length. Lineage: Bacteria; Pseudomonadati; Bacteroidota; Bacteroidia; Bacteroidales. The record is from RNAcentral.
GGUCCGGUAGCUCAGUUGGAUAGAGCAACAGCCUUCUAAGCUGUGGGUCCCGGGUUCGAACCCCGGCCGGAUCA